Passer domesticus (house sparrow) is the source of this 838-nucleotide long non-coding RNA. RefSeq lists it as uncharacterized. Lineage: Eukaryota; Metazoa; Chordata; Aves; Passeriformes; Passeridae. The transcript is spliced from 2 exons. The record is from RefSeq and is a predicted model, not a curated record.
GUUUGGCUUGGAAGGGACCUUAAAGAUCAUCUGGUUCCAAGCUGAGCAGCCUCCCAGCACAGCAGGUUGCUGCGGCCCCUGUCCAAGCUGGCCUUGGAUGUUCGUGGGCAUGGGUUGCUGACAAAGAGUCCUCUCCCACUUCCCUGUGGGUCAGGCUGUUCCUGCAGGGUCACACAUGUGGCUGAAGCUGCAGGCAGGAGAGAGAGAAGCCAAGCUGCCAGAGAGAGGAAAUGGGGAAAGUGACAUGAGAGAUGAGAGAAGAAGGAAAAAGUAGAGACAUGCAAGGCAUUGGGUUGGGUGGGCUGUGGGAUUCAUGCCUUUUAUUGGAGGCCAGGUUCUCUGGUGCACUCAAUGACUGUGUGAUUGCGGCGUGUCCACAGUGAGCCCGUGUGAGCGACCUGCACUGCCAGAGGCCGGAGCACACUUGCUUCAAGUGCUGAUGAAGGAGGCCAGAGACGGGUCUUUGUGUGGAACUCCAAACGCCGUGCAAUGCCAUGAAGAGGGUCCAGGGCCAGAGAGAAAAUGAGGCUGGGGUCUGAGGGUUUCAUUCGGGGGGGAGAAGGGGUGAAGCCAGGACCAGCAGGGGAGAAGAGAGAGGAGAACAUUCUCUGGAGAGUAGAUAUAAGGAAAAAAUGGCAGUUGAAGUGGGUGAUAGCAACAAAACCUGCGGAUUGCAAGAGCCUGCAAGUGGCCAUGGGUGAGAGCCUUGCAUUCAGAGGGGUUUCUCUGUUUCACCUUGGUCCCCUUUGCCCUAAGGUAUUACAGUUGCAAUGAGAGGCCCCUGGGCCUCCACAAGUGCCCCCUUUUUGUUUUCAAGAAUAAAGGCUUCUGCCAUGGA